CAGUCGCCACGGUAAUACGUAGGGCGCAAGCGUUGUCCGGAAUUAUUGGGCGUAAAGAGCUCGUAGGCGGUCUGUCGCGUCUGGUGUGAAAUCCCGAGGCUCAACCUCGGGCUUGCAUCGGGUACGGGCAGACUAGAGUGCGGUAGGGGAGACUGGAAUUCCUGGUGUAGCGGUGGAAUGCGCAGAUAUCAGGAGGAACACCGAUGGCGAAGGCAGGUCUCUGGGCCGCAACUGACGCUGAGGAGCGAAAGCAUGGGGAGCGAACAGGAUUAGAUACCCCGGUAGUCCCUGUCUCUUAUAA
Molecule: ribosomal RNA, 301 nt
Filed under: uncultured bacterium
Lineage: Bacteria
Description: partial 16S ribosomal RNA
Rfam family: Bacterial small subunit ribosomal RNA
Source: RNAcentral